This 12527-nucleotide long non-coding RNA is filed under the name Olea europaea subsp. europaea. Lineage: Eukaryota; Viridiplantae; Streptophyta; Magnoliopsida; Lamiales; Oleaceae. The record is from RNAcentral.
CUCCUUCUCAUUCAAAAAAAUCUGUGACUCUCUAUCUCUCUCCCCCCACUCGCCCCUACUACCAAUUGCAACCAUCGUCAUCGGAAACCAACUAACCGACCACCCUCUACUCCCGCGCCCUUAUCACUUAAUCAAUUUCCCCCAAUGUUUCAAAUCUACAAUCUGUCUUCUACCUUCAUUUGACACAUGCUAUUCGUCACUAUCACUGCCUCCUAAGGUCCUUUUCCGAUGGAACUCUCCUUCUGAUGCCUAUAGGAAUUUUGCCACCAAACUCGCUAAAACAUAUGGGGCAUUUAGCUCAUAGUGCAUGGUGGUGGACUAAAAAUGAAAAUCAAAGUUCAAAGUUCAACCACUUCGUGAAUUGAUACAGUAGCCUUGUCAUCAGUGAAGGUUCGUCGUCGGAACUCAAGAUUAACUUUGGUGUCGAAAAUAACUGCCCAAUGAAAGAGAAGUCGGUAGUAUUUGUUAUAGUUGACUGUGGAAGACGGGUGGUGGUGAGCUGUGAAAGGGAUUAAGAUGGAUGGCUCCAGAAGAUGGGAUGAUGGUGGUUGAUUGUGGAAGAUGGGUGGUUGUGGACUAUGAAAUGAAUGAAGAUGGAUGCUAAUGGUGGAUUUGAAGUGAAGGUGGUGGUGAUGGUUUGAGGCAGAUGAGGUGGUGGUUGUUGUGAAUUUGAAAAGAAGGUGACGGUGGUGCAUCGUGAAUUUGAGGUGACAAUAAUGAUUUGAAUAGUGCUGAUAGUAGUGGGUGGGGUGGGUGAUUUGGGUGAUGAUAUGUUAAUUUGUAAUUUUUAAAAAAUUUGAGACCAUUGUUGCAAUUAAUUUUUUAACCUUUCGUUUCAUUUCUUUUUGUUUUAUUUGAAUAGGAAGGUAAAAUUAUCUUUUUAUUGGUAAAAUGGAUGAAAAUGACAUUUGCUGCAAUGAAAGGUAAAAAUUCCAAAAAAUAAAAUGUAUGGAUGUUUUGCAUAAUGAUAUUGAAAGGUAUGGACGUUUUGUACUAUUUACCAUAUUGUUCUAGUUCAACCACUGUGUCUAUUUAUAGGCCUAUGGUUUUGCUUGUUCUAGUUUCAGUUGAAUUAGGACUUCCUGAGCUCUUAAAUUCCAAGCUCUAAACAUGAUAAAAUUUCUUUUACGACUUAAAAUUACCCAACUAUGUAAAACGAAUUUUGACUUGGUCAACUAUGUAACAUCUCUAGUGCAGUUGAAUCCUUAUCGAUUUAUGGAGCUACCAAAAGGAUCUAAUUGAACCUAUACAAUUCAAGUUUCAAUGAUUCGACACAAUCACUCACCCAGACCGUAUAGUCUAAUUAUUAAUUUUGGCUUACUCCACUGAAUGCAAAAUGUUGAUAUCUUGAAUUUGCAUAAGAUGAAUAUUUUUCUCUUAGUAAUUACACUAUCAAACUUACCAUUUUCAAGUCUUAUCCCGUCAGACAUCCAUUAAUUGGAGUCGGGGUAAAACGAUUUUUUGCCCCAUGGUUAUUUUCUUACAUUUUCUACAUUUUCUCUGAACAAAUUAUUGGUGUCAUUUAUCCGUCACUAAGCACCUGUUUGGCAUUCAUUUUAAUGAAUUUUCUUCAGGAAAAAUAAGUUUUGGAAUAGUAUUUUUCGAGAAUGUGGGAUUAAAAAGUAGGAAAUGUUUUGAAUUUUCGUGCAAAAUAUUUUAUUAUGUGGAUAUAAGAUUAAAAGUAAGCUUGAGAAAAAAUGAAUUUUGAUUUAAUGGACGUCGAAUAUGGCCUAAACUUGGGUGUAGAUUAAAGCCGCUCAAUAGAAAAAAUUACACAACCCAAACUCUUUUGCACUAUUAUAUAAGCAACUGUUUCCUAAUACAAAUAUGUGUCCACUACCUCUUUUACUUUAAGCUCCCAUCGCAAAGAGAUAUUUGACCUUAUUAUUUAUAAUCUCACUCAUUUGUGUAUUACAGACUCUCGAGCGUAAGAUUUCCUAACACCUAAUUGGCCAUUGAACUUUACAUAAAGUUUUCAAGGGUCCUUCUGGAACUUCAAAAGUUUGCAAAACGCAAUACCCUCCAUUACUCACUCAACGAACAAUUAAAAAAUUGAUGAACUUGUUGAUGUGACAGACGAAAUUGUGUACGUGACAACAAUCUAUUUCCACUUGGCGUCUACGUCAUUUACAGUUUAAAAAUUGAGUGAUGGACGGGAUAACGAAUUACGAAGUUCAGUGAUUAAUGGGGUAACUUUUAAAAGUUCAGAGACCUGAUGAAAACGUUAUGCAAAGUUUAGUGAUGAAUCAAGUAAUUACCCCCCCCCCCCCCCGCUUUUUUUUCUUUGUUUGUUUUGGUACUCUUACAUCACUCACAAUAUUAUUCUCUCUAGUAUCGCUAAAGUACACUGAUCGCUUAAUAGUAUUCUACUUUGGAAUUUAUAUACGUCUUCAUCUAAGAAUCUAAUAGAUUUUUUAUAUUUAUUCAAGUGUAUCCUGAUGGAAAAACGAUCAAAGCUAAAGCAGUCCAUGAAACUAUCACACACCACUACAGAGUUCACAAAAAAAGGAGAUGAAAUAGCAUUGCCUCAAUCUUUGCUUAGACUCUAGGGCUCGCUACAUGUAACUAAAUUUAAUUUUGAGUCUAACAAUUUGCCAUAAAGAAAUACAUUAUUUUAAGUAUCUAAUGACAUGAAUGCCAAGUGAAAAAUAAAUUGUCACGUACCCAAUUUCGUAAGUCACGUAAACAAAUUCGUCAAUUUUUAGUUGUCCGUUGAGUGAGUGAUGAAUGAGAUUACAUUUUGCAAAAUUCAAUGAAUAACGAGGAAACUUUGAAGUUUAGUGACCCCCUGAAAAUUUUACCACAACGUUCAGUGACCAAUUAGGUAGUUAACCGUAUACAAGAUUUCAAGUAAUAUAUAAGGUAGUCUUGUAGAGUUUAAUUUUAUAACUAGACCUUAUAGAAAAUUAAACUCUAUAAAGUGAUCAUGUCAAAUAAACUUUCAAGUACACUAGUAUCACCGCUCUAGAGUUCCACUCACUAUGGUCAAGUCAAAUCAUUCACUCUAAUUGGUAGAGUAGUCGGCUCUAUAAUUUUAUCAAGACAAGUUCCAACCACCGUUCAUCGGUCUAGGACUUACCAAUUCUUGUUCGAUGUGUAGCAUCUGUAUUUGCUUCUUUACGCUAGCAUUCUUUUAUUACCGCAAAACAAUCGAAGAUCCUUCAUUGCAUGCUCAAUUAUAUUAACCUUACGCGUUAUUCGAAUAAACAAAUAAUGUAUUAUUUAUUCAAAAACAAAUAAUUUUCUAACAAUUAGAGCAACAGUUAUUAGUUUUGAGCACACAUUUUUAUUAAAAAUAUUUUAUUAAGUUAGUAAUUAUCUUGAAGGAUACCUAGCUAAAUAGUUUUAUUUUCAAAAUUUAGGAUAUAGUAAUCAUAUUCACAUCACAAUUUUUAUUUAUUGCAGUACAUUUUAUUUGUAAAUGUACUCAAUCUGUACUCAUUACAGCAUUUACAUUCUCAAUAUUUUUUCACCUUCUUACCAACUUUCAUUAUUUAGCAUAUCUUAUCUCUGAUAUCAAUUUUUGUCCAAAAACUCCAACAUUUCACUUUAUUUUACAAAAAAGAAGAAGAAGAAGAAGAAGAAGCAAAUGUUGCUCUAAUCUCAAGGGCCCCCCAUCCAGAAACGUCGUAAAAUGAUGUAUUUACCCAUGAUAACUAUAGAAAGCAAUAAAUAGAAAAGUACAACAAACAUUUUUUCUCAUUUUAAACCACAUAAACAUACAAACUGUUAUCAAGAACAGGAAAUUCUAAAUAAAAAAAUUUGAAAAUAACAAUUUAACGAAAAAAUAAGAACAUAAAAUUGCAACAAAUAAAAAUUAUCUUGCCAUUAUAACCACAACAAAGGAUAUUUUAAUUAUUUCUUUAACUAGUGUCUAUUGCUAUUCAUCUCUCUGUAUCGCCAAUAUGAAAUUGUCACAUCAUGUAAGGUUUCAAACUAUUAAAAGCAAGAAAAGUGUUUGGAAAAUUUGGUGAUUUGUGUGUAGAUGAACAUAUCAACUAAAAAAAUAUAAAUAACAUAAUCAAUAAUUGCAUAAACAUAACAAUAUUAUAACAAUAUAAACAUUAUAAUUCAAGUAAGAAGAUGGAUAGAAUGCAAGCUUUGGGAAGUCACAUCAAUGAUUAUGUCCUAAAGUCAUGGUGCUUCCCCUUCGUGUUGGUACUUUCGGCGCUACACGGCUUUAAGAUAAAACACUUGUGGCUCGUAGCCAAUUCUCCUUCUAAGAGCACAACCAUAGGGAAAUAAGUGAACGAUCCUCUCAUCGAAUUACCAAAAUAGUAUAUUGUAAAAGUAUAGAGAGAAUAAUACUUCAAGUUAUUUUAUUCUAGUUCUCAAGCUUUCUUUUCAUAUUAUGUUUUUUCAUCUCAAUGAAAAUCAUUCCCUUUUAUAGGGAUAAAUUAAUUUUAACCCACGCUUAUGAGAAUCAAGUUGUUUAACUUGUAUGUUAUACUAUACAGAAAAAUAAAUUUAACCUCCCACACUUAUGAGAAUUAAGUCAUUUUACAUAUAUGUUACAAUGCAGGGAUAAAUAAAUUUAACCCCUCACUCAUAAGAAUUAAGUCAUUUAACAUGUAUGUUACACUAUAAUAUUAUUAAUUUAAUUUUGAAUUGAAUUGAUAUUAAAAUGGAAACAACAAAUUUAAAAAUAUUAAUUUGAAAAUUUAAAACUUAAAUUAUUUAUUUUUCAACAAUCUCUCACAAGUUUUAAACUUUCAAAAUAGAUAAAUAUAUAAUAUAUAGUGGCAACGUUAUAUAGUGUAAUAGGUGUAGGUGUCUUUUGGACUUAAACCUCACUUAGUGAUAACAAUUUUCAUUUAAAGGAAUCAUAAUGGACUAAGCCUUAAAUUAGGCCCCUUUGGCCAAACCUUAAUUGUCUCAUACACAAUAUCGAUUUAGUCUCUAAUUCAAAGAUGAUAGCGUUUUUAAUGGUCAUGCGCUCUAAUCUUGAUACUAGUAAGAAUCUCUAGGAAAUAUUUCAAUCUCAUAGCCACGGUCUCAUAGCAACUCUUACAUAGGUGAGUUCUCCAAAGGUUGCGAGAAUUCUCGCUUCGAUACUCAUUCAAAGUUAUAUACUUCCUAACAUCACAUUAUUAUUGACACUAUCACUAUAAGGAUGAGCACAAAUAAUAUAGUAUUAUUACAAAUCAUGUAGUACGGGUUGUUUCUACUAUAUUGAACAUUCUUCAUGAGAUCUCCAAUUACAAAGAUUGUGUUACUCUCGGAGUUGACUCCCUUAUGGGUCUAAAGCCCAUUCCCUUCGAUGAUGCAUGUAUGUCCAUCUCGGACCACAAUUUAUUUACAUCCCUCUUGGACAAUAAUUUGAUGCCAUCAAUUUGUAAGGCUCUUAUUCUCCCCUUGCACAUCGACAUAUUUGCAGAGUCUUUUAACUUUCCAAAACAUCAGUAACACAUAUUUAGUUAUAAUAAUAUAAACAUGCGAAAUUUAGAAAUUGAUUUCUAGUAGCACAUUCAAACAAAUGCAUUCGUUCAACUCUUAUAUUCGCCUACAGAUCUACAAAUUUCAUUUUUUAACACUUUUCAAAAGUUAUUUUUACAUCUAAGGAUGAUAAAAUAUAUAAGAUCCACAUAUUUUAAAUUUUAAAUACCCUACAUUUGAAAGAUAUCCAACUUGUAGCAAUUUUUUUUUUUUUUUUUUUACCAUAUUUCAAACUGGCCUUCCUCAUACAUAUAUGAUAGGAUAUCGCUCACGAUAGAGCAGGAAAAUAUCAUCUAAUAAAUAUGUGAAAUUCAGUGUUUAUGACUAUUGGUCAAAAUUAAUUAAAUAGAUUAUCACUUAAUCUAUUUGAUAAUACCUUUAUGAGUGUAGCGAUUAAGUUUGUCCAAAUAUAAAUAAUUACAAAUUCUCCAACUUCGACAGCAUAAUCAUACGCAAUUAUGUUUAUGUAUCACAAAAUAUUAGACAAUAUUCGUUAACAUAAUUGUUAGGAUCUUCCUCAAGCUGCUUAAGAUGAUUUUCGGGCUCAGUUAACCUUUAAAACACCGAAUCAACACCAAAACUGAAGGUACCCGCCGCCGACCUCACAAGUGCUACCUAUGGUUGCUUUUCUUCCUUCUGCUUGUUGUUUGCUCACUCACAAAGAAUGAAUACCACACAGGUAAGGGUCACAAAGACACAAGCAAGAGGUAGACAAGAUCAAGGAGUAGAAUGCACGAAGAAGAAGAAGACACGGCCUCUCUCUCUCUCUGGGGUUCUUUCACCAAAACGGGACCUUGGAAGGCUACGAGAGUUACCAAUAUAUAUAGUAAACCAAUGACAAACAAUAAGGUAAGUUAUACAUAUGGUAAGUGAACCCGACUAGGGUUAUGGCCCAAUAGCACACCAACAAGCCACAAAGGUUUAUUAGCCAUCCAAUAGGUAAAACAACGUUAAGUCGGGUCAUCCCAUUAUUCGGUGUUGAUUUAUCGUUCAGUCAUUCAUGUCGACUGAUAAAACUGGUUUACAUCAUCGCCCGGGAGGUCGUUUGACAACAUGAUGUUUAACAACCUCCACCUUGGUGUCAAAGGACAUGCAAAGAGAAAACGUUUUCCAUUAGUGACACCUCUAACAGAAAACCGAUAAAAUUGGAAAUCAUUUACCUGUACCGAUGUUUAGAAGCUCUUUUCAACUUCUAAACUUUACCAGUGGCAGCACUUUCUUGCCCAUAUCCGAAGGAUUAUAUUGUGUGUGAAUUUUUCAAGUCUUACUACUUCUUGUGAUAUUAUAUCCCUAAUGAAGUGUGGCCUAACAUCGAUAUGUUUAGUGCGUUCGUGAAAAAUAGGAUUCUUACACAGAUGUAUGGAUGACUGACUAUCAGAAUACACAACCACAUACUCAUUCAAGACACUUAGUUCAUGAAGUAGACCUCUAAGCCAUAGAGCCUCUUUAAUUGCUUCAGUGGUGGCAAUAUAUUCUGACUCUGUAGUGGAUAGUGCAACUAUGUGUUGUAACUGUGAUUUCCAACUAACACACGAAUUUGAUAAGGUGAAUACGUAAGAGGAAGUUGAUUUCCUACCAUCCCUAUCUCCUGCAUAGUCAGCAUCUACAAAACCCUUUAAUUUCACGCCUUCCUUAUUAGCACUAAAUUUUAGACCUACGUCACUUGUACCCUUCAAAUAUCUUAAAAGCCACUUUAAUGCUUCCCAAUGUUCAGGACCUGGAUUAGACAUGUACCUACUGAGAGUACUAACAGCGAAUCCUAAGUCCGGUCUAGUGCAAACCAUCAAAUACAUUAUGGAACCAAUCACAUUUGAGUAUGGAAUUUUACUCAUGUAUUCCACUUCACGUUCAUUGCAGGGAGCUUGUUCUUUAGAUAGAACAAAAUGGUUUGCAAGAGGCAACGUGACAGGUUUGCAGUCACUCAUAUUAAACNNNNNNNNNNNNNNNNNNNNNNNNNNNNNNNNNNNNNNNNNNNNNNNNNNNNNNNNNNNNNNNNNNNNNNNNNNNNNNNNNNNNNNNNNNNNNNNNNNNNNNNNNNNNNNNNNNNNNNNNNNNNNNNNNNNNNNNNNNNNNNNNNNNNNNNNNNNNNNNNNNNNNNNNNNNNNNNNNNNNNNNNNNNNNNNNNNNNNNNNNNNNNNNNNNNNNNNNNNNNNNNNNNNNNNNNNNNNNNNNNNNNNNNNNNNNNNNNNNNNNNNNNNNNNNNNNNNNNNNNNNNNNNNNNNNNNNNNNNNNNNNNNNNNNNNNNNNNNNNNNNNNNNNNNNNNNNNNNNNNNNNNNNNNNNNNNNNNNNNNNNNNNNNNNNNNNNNNNNNNNNNNNNNNNNNNNNNNNNNNNNNNNNNNNNNNNNNNNNNNNNNNNNNNNNNNNNNNNNNNNNNNNNUUUUUACAUCGAGUUGUUCAAGUUCCCAGUCAAAGAGCGCAACCAAUGCGAGCAUGACCCUAAUAGUAGUGUACUUGACAACUGGUGAGAAAAUCUCGUUAUAAUCAACACCUUCUUUCUGUGUGUAACCCUUCGCUACUAACCUAGCCUUAAAUCUUAAGGGUUCUGAACUACUAGUACCUUCCUUAACCUUAAAGACCCACUUGCAAUCAACGAUUGAUUUAUUCUUAGGUCUUGGUACUAACUCCCAAGUUUGAUUCUUUUCUAGAGAAAUCAUCUCUUCUUUCAUAGCCUUAAGCCACUCCUUAGAUUGACCACUAUUCAUAGCCUCUUCAAAAGUUUUCGGCUCCCUAUCAACUAGUUCUUCAUAACUAGCGUAUGCAAAAUCCAAUUCAGAUUCAAACCCAAACAUUCUAGGUUCUCUCGUUUGUCUUCUCUCUCUAUCCCUAACUAAAUUAUAGUUAGCUAAUGGAUUUUCUUCCUCAGGAUGCUCUUCUAUCACUACUUCAUUUUUCUCUUCAGGUUCUUGGACCUGAAUCUCCACCUCACUCAAAGUACUAGGUACUGAUGUGUUAAAUUUUCCUAACUCCACCUUAAACCGAUUUCUUUCCUCACCUGAUUCAGUUUCACUUACAGGUUCGGUUUCGUUCCUUAGACAAGGUAUCUCACUCUCAUUAAAUGUGACAUCCCUACUCACGAUGAUCUUAACUCCUUUUUGGCUUAUAUUCCAUAACCUAUAGCCCUUAACCCCUUCGGGAUAUCCUAGAAAGACACACUUUCUGGCUCUAGGUUCUAAUUUUCCCUCACUUUGAUGAGAGAAGACAGCACAGCCAAAAGCUUUAAGCAUUGAGUAGUCACCCAAUUUUUCAGAUCAUUUCUCAUGUGGAGUAUCACCAUUUAAUGCAGCCGAUGGAGUCAAAUUUAUCAGAUAACAGGCAGUUACAACGGCUUCACCCCAAAAUGACUUAGGAACCCCAUAACUUAACAUCAUGCAGCGCACUUUAUCUAGUAUGGUCCUAUUCAUUCUUUCUGCUACCCCGUUUUGCUGGGGAGUAUAGGGAAUCGUUUUGUGCCUUGUUAUUCCACUUUCUUUACACAUCCUAUCGAAUUCAGCAUUACAGAAUUCUAGGCCGUUAUCUAUCCUUAAAAAUUUGAUCCUCUUGCUAGUUUGAUUUUCCAUUUGUUUCUUCCAAUUGUUAAAGUUAUGCAAGGUUUCAGUUUUGUCUUUCAAUAAAUAGACCCAAACUUUCCUGGUGUAGUCAUCUAUGAUAGAUAGGAAAUACCUAUUACCACCCGAUGUGGGAUUACUAGCAGGACCCCACAAAUCAGAAUGCACAUAUUCAAGCAUGCUUUUAGCCUUAUGCGUACUAGUGGAGAACGACACUUUAUGGUGCUUUCCGAGCACACAGUGAUCACAGAACGAUAGGUCAAACACAUAGUCAUUACCAGAUGCAUCUUUUUCAUUAAAUAGCUUAAGUCUCUUAAUGCCUACGUGUGCAAGCCUACUAUGCCACGUAUAUGUGUUAUCGAUUUUGGCGGAAGAAAUAGAGGAGUUUAAUUCUCUAAUUAUUUCCCCAGUAGUGAUGUAAAUAUCGUUUUUCUUGAUUCCCUUAAUAGAGAUUAAUGCACCCUUCAUCAUUUUAAACAUAUCGUUUCCAAUUUUACAGGUGAAGUUGUCUUUCUCAAGUCUUCCUACUGAAAUCAAAUUCCUAGAUAAUUCAGGAAUGUAUCUAACUUCCUUUAACAUAUACACAAAGCCCGUGUUAAAUUUUAUCUUUAUAUCUCCAAUUCCAGCAAUUAUAUAGGCAAAGUUAUCACACAGAACUACUUGCCCAUCAUUAGAUUCUUGCAAGUUUUCAAACCAGUUCUUUUCGGACGUUACAUGAAAAGACGCACCAGAAUCUAAUAUCCAUUCAUGCAUGUGAGAAUUAGUAGUUAGAUUCAAUUCAGUAGUGUAUGCGACUGGACUAGUGAUCACAUAGACUUCACCGUUUUCGGUAUCGGAGGUAGAGGAUAACACAUUUACCUCAUCUCUUUCCUUAACCUUUUGUUUUCCCCUUUCUUUAUGGCAGUCUUUUAUAAAAUACCCUGUGCCUCCACAGCCAUAACAUUUUCUAGCCUUAGUUCUAGACUUUGACCUAGGUCUAACAUUGCCCUUCUUUUUCCAACUAUUACUACUUGAUUCGCCACUACUUUGGUAUCCAUCAUGACUGGCUUGCCUAAAUUGAGUUCUACCCCACAUCAUAUGCAACUCUCCACUCCUCCUAUCUUGUUUUUCAGUCCUCAUUUCCAUCUCUUUACUCCUAAGAGAAUCUACGACAAUUCAGGUGUUAACGUGUCCCUACCAUACUUAAUGACAUUCUUAACUUCUUUAUAAGAGUCCGGGAUUGAAUUAAACGAGCUUGCUGUUCAAUUGCAGUCAGCGUCACACCAGGGGCAAAAUCGUCCAACUUUUUCUGUGUAACCUGAAACACAAAACAAAGUAUAUCAGCGCGUUCAGGAGAUCGAAACAAGCAAGUUACCUGAAGAUAGCUUUGCUGGAAUGCCGCCCACGCGCCGUCGCUGCUCCGCCGCCGCCCACAUGCCACCUCACCAGGGGCGCCUCGACCUGCUGGUAAUGGGUAUGACCUCCGUUUGUCCAACCGAGCUUUGGUUUGUGAGUAAUUGAAGAAUUUCAGAUUUGGGUAAAAUGAUGAAAUUGCGAAAAUCAACCAAUUUUGAGCCGAUGUUAGGAUCUUCCUCAAGCUGCUCAAGAUGAUUUUCGGGCUCAGUUAACCUUUAAAACACCGAAUCAACACCAAAACCGAAGGUACCCGCCGCCGACCUCACGAGUUCUACCUAUGGUUGAUUUUCUUCCUUCUUCUUGUUGUUGUUUGCUCACUCACAAAGAAUGAAUACCACACAGGUAAGGGUUACAAAGACACAAGCAAAAGGUAGACAAGAUCAAGGAGUAGAAUGCACGAAGAAGAAGAAGAAGACACGGCCUCUCUCUCUCUCUGGGGUUCUUUCACCAAAACGGGACCUUGGAAGGCUACGAGAGUUACCAAUAUAUAUAGUAAACCAAUGACAAACAAUAAAGUAAGUUAUACAUAUGGUAAGUGGGCUCGACUAGGGUUAUGGCCCAAUAGCACACCAACAAGCCACAAAGGUUUAUUAGCCAUCCAAUAGGUAAAACAACGUUAAGUUGGGUCAUCCCAUUAUUCGGUAUUGAUUUAUCGUUCAGUUAUUCAUGUAGACUGAUAAAACUGGUUUACAUCAUCGCCUGGGAGGUCGUUUGACAACAUGAUAUCUAACAAUAAUCAUAAAGUAUCAAAUAUGGUUUAACAUGCCUUCAAAGAAUUAUAUCAAUAUAUUUAAAAUGGAUAAAUCUAGUUGUACAUAACUUUAUGUAUACACCAAGCAUAGCCCAUUUAGUAUUCUUAUGUUAACUUCCCUUAUUGAUAUUCCAAAGUAUAUCAAGACAUGUAACAUUCACAAACAAUUAGAUGCUUACUCACCAAAAUACAAUAAUGUAAGCCAACUAGUUCUCAAAAUAAUCUAGUCUUUAAAUUUUUUAUUUUUUUAAUAAUGAAAUUAACGGCAUGAUGAUAGUUAUUUGUAAAUCCUAUCAAAAUAAAGAUCAAUGGAUAUGAUAUCUAAAUAUCUCCAACUUAUAGUAUAUACAAUUUUAUAACCACAAUUAUUUAAGAGUUGGUUGCAAUAUUAUAUAUAAUGUGAAAAUAUAAAUCUUCUCUUGGAAACAUUAUUCUCAUAACUUAUAUUACCAAUUUGAUAAAAUAAAUCUUAAAACGGAUGGAAAUUAUCAAUACAAUAAAGGAUAAUUAGCACAAAACAUCCUUACCUUUCAAUACCAUUGUGCAAAAUGUCCAUACAUUUCAUUUUUUGGUAUUUUCACUCAUAUUUUCACAUUUCAUUGCGCAAAAAGUCAUUUUCAUUCAUUUUCCCAAUAAAAGACAAUUUUACCAUCCUAUUCAAAUAAAACAAAAAGAAAAAAAUAGAAGAAUAAAGAAUUAAUUGUAAAAAUUGUCCCAAAAUUUCAAAAAAAUUAUUUAACUUUCCAUUUCAAUAAUCCCCACUCCCUCUCAUUCAAAAAAAUUUGUGACUCUCUCUCUCUCUCUCUCUAUCCAACCAUCAUCACCGGAAACCAACUACCCUCACUCCUACGCCCUUAUCACUUAAUCAAUUUUCCCCCAGUGUUUCAAAUCUACAAUCUACCUUCUACCUUCAUUUGCCACAUGCUAUUCGUCCCUAUAAACCACUCCAAAGGUCCUUUUCAAGUGGAACUCUCCUUCCGAUGCCUAUAGGAAUUUUGCCACCAAACUCGUUGAAGCAUAUGGGACAUUUAGCUCAUGGCACAUGGUGGUGGACUAAAAAUAAAAAUCAAAUUUCAAAGUCCAACUGCUUCAUGAAUUGAUACAGUAGCCUUGUCAUCAGUGAAGCUCCGUCGUCGGAACAUAAGAUUAAUUUUGUUGUUGAAAAUAACUGCCCAAUGAAGGAGAAGUCGACGGUAUUUGUUGUAGUUGAUUGUGGAAGACGAGUUCUGGUGAGCUGUGAAAGGGGUGAAGAUGGAUGGCUCCUAAAGAUAGGAAGGUGGUGGUUGAUUGUGGAAGAUGGAUGGUUGUGGACUGUGAAAGGGAUGGUGGAUUUGAAGUGAAGGUGGUGGUGAUGGUUUGAGGCGGAUAAGGUGGUGGUUGUUGUGAAUUUGAAAAGAAG